This 224-nucleotide small nucleolar RNA is filed under the name Pogona vitticeps (central bearded dragon). Its description in RNAcentral is "Small nucleolar RNA SNORA73 family (ENSPVIG00000007740.1)". It matches the Rfam family "Small nucleolar RNA SNORA73 family". Rfam says of the family: U17 (SNORA73A and SNORA73B) also known as E1 belongs to the H/ACA class of small nucleolar RNAs (snoRNAs). Vertebrate U17 is intron-encoded and ranges in length from 200-230 nucleotides, longer than most snoRNAs. The record is from Rfam by way of RNAcentral. Lineage: Eukaryota; Metazoa; Chordata; Lepidosauria; Squamata; Agamidae.
CCAACAUGGGCAUCCAGUGAGGUCGCUCUUGCUUGGCUCUGCCCAAGUGGCGUGUGGGAGCUUAGCUCUGUAUGGAGCCGUGAGGUAUAGUCCUCUUCCACAAUGUUGGAAAGAAAGUUUUCCCUCCCAGCUGAAAAAGCUGGUGCACGGGAAUCGUCCUGUAUAUUCCUACAACUUGUCAGCAUUUAUGGUUGCUGAUAAGACAAACCAUGCAGGACACAUUU